This 252-nucleotide ribosomal RNA is filed under the name uncultured bacterium. RNAcentral's name for it is "partial 16S ribosomal RNA". It matches the Rfam family "Bacterial small subunit ribosomal RNA", at positions 524 to 776 of the family's 1533-position model. The record is from RNAcentral.
UACAGAGGGGGCAAGCGUUGUUCGGAAUUACUGGGCGUAAAGGGCGCGUAGGCGGCCUGCUAAGUCGAACGUGAAAUCCCUGGGCUCAACCCAGGAACUGCGUCCGAUACUGGUUGGCUUGAAUCCGGGAGAGGGAUGUGGAAUUCCAGGUGUAGCGGUGAAAUGCGUAGAUAUCUGGAGGAACACCGGUGGCGAAGGCGGCAUCCUGGACCGACAUUGACGCUGAGGCGCGAAAGCCAGGGAGCAAACGGG